UCCAUGUUAAUAUUAGGAGAUGUCUACGAAACACGACAGCGAUUCCACCUCUGGAGAAUCGUUAUAUAAUGUACUUGGCGUGACAAAAACAUCAACUCCUCAAGACAUUAAAAACGCCUACAGGCUGCUUGCCUUACAAUAUCACCCAGACAGGAAUCUAGAGAACCCAGAGGCAGAGGAGAAG
Molecule: long non-coding RNA, 184 nt
Organism: Priapulus caudatus
Lineage: Eukaryota; Metazoa; Priapulida; Priapulimorpha; Priapulimorphida; Priapulidae
Exons: 3
Source: RefSeq, a predicted model, not a curated record